GACAGAGGGUGCAAACGUUGUUCGGAAUUACUGGGCGUAAAGCGCGUGUAGGCGGUUCGUAAAGUCGGAUGUGAAAGCCCUGGGCUUAACCCAGGAAGUGCAUUCGAAACUCACGAACUUGAGUCCCGGAGAGGAAGGCGGAAUUCUCGGUGUAGAGGUGAAAUUCGUAGAUAUCGAGAGGAACAUCUGUGGCGAAGGCGGCCUUCUGGACGGUGACUGACGCUGAGGUGCGAAAGCGUGGGUAGCAAACAGG
RNAcentral lists this ribosomal RNA (253 nucleotides) under uncultured bacterium. Its description in RNAcentral is "partial 16S ribosomal RNA". It matches the Rfam family "Bacterial small subunit ribosomal RNA", at positions 524 to 776 of the family's 1533-position model. The record is from RNAcentral.